CCGAACAAGGCUUAGCUCUGUCACCGAUAUGUAUAUAGUCCAUAAGUAGCGACCAUAUGUUUUACUUUCUUCGACGUAAUAGUACAGUGGAGUAUACCAUUUAAGUGCCAUGGAGAUAUUGCUGCAAUUGAUGCUGGCCUUGGGUGUAUUGAUGAUGAUAUUUUACCACGUGAUUGCUCAACCAGACACAGAUUACCCAAACACGCAAACGAAUGAACCCAACGGCGCCUGGCAGUGGAACUGUUGUUGAGCAUGAACUCAAAGAAAUAAUGACGUCACUGGAAGUGGAACUGUUGUUGAGCAUGAACUCCAUGAAAUAAUGACGUCAUCAUUCUUUCAUGCUUAGCUACAGAGACGUGA
Molecule: long non-coding RNA, 360 nt
Organism: Dreissena polymorpha
Lineage: Eukaryota; Metazoa; Mollusca; Bivalvia; Myida; Dreissenidae
Exons: 3
Source: RefSeq, a predicted model, not a curated record